RNAcentral lists this ribosomal RNA (469 nucleotides) under uncultured bacterium. RNAcentral's name for it is "bacterial SSU rRNA". It matches the Rfam family "Bacterial small subunit ribosomal RNA", at positions 335 to 796 of the family's 1533-position model. The record is from RNAcentral.
ACUCCUACGGGAGGCAGCAGUGGGGAAUAUUGCACAAUGGGCGCAAGCCUGAUGCAGCCAUGCCGCGUGUAUGAAGAAGGCCUUCGGGUUGUAAAGUACUUUCAGCAGUGAGGAAGGCGGGUACGUUAAUAGCGUGCUCGUUUGACGUUAGCUGCAGAAGAAGCACCGGCUAACUACGUGCCAGCAGCCGCGGUGAUACGUAGGGUGCGAGCGUUGUCCGGAUUUAUUGGGCGUAAAGGGCUCGUAGGUGGUUGAUCGCGUCGGAAGUGUAAUCUUGGGGCUUAACCCUGAGCGUGCUUUCGAUACGGGUUGACUUGAGGAAGGUAGGGGAGAAUGGAAUUCCUGGUGGAGCGGUGGAAUGCGCAGAUAUCAGGAGGAACACCAGUGGCGAAGGCGGUUCUCUGGGCCUUUCCUGACGCUGAGGAGCGAAAGCGUGGGGAGCGAACAGGCUUAGAUACCCUGGUAGGUG